Molecule: ribosomal RNA, 423 nt
Filed under: uncultured bacterium
Lineage: Bacteria
Description: bacterial SSU rRNA
Rfam family: Bacterial small subunit ribosomal RNA
Source: RNAcentral
UGAGGAAUAUUGGUCAAUGGGCGCAAGCCUGAACCAGCCAUCCCGCGUGCAGGAAGACGGCCCUAUGGGUUGUAAACUGCUUUUCCAGGGGGUGAAACUCCCGUACGAGUACGGGACUGACGGUACCCUGGGAAUAAGCAUCGGCUAACUCCGUGCCAGCAGCCGCGGUAAUACGGAGGAUGCGAGCGUUAUCCGGAUUUAUUGGGUUUAAAGGGUGCGUAGGCGGAUUAAUAAGUCAGUGGUGAAAUCCUGCAGCUUAACUGUAGACUUGCCGUUGAUACUGUUUAUCUUGAGUAUGGUCAAGGCAGGCGGAAUGUGUAAUGUAGCGGUGAAAUGCUUAGAUAUUACACAGAACACCGAUUGCGAAGGCAGCUUGCUGGGCCAUUACUGACGCUGAUGCACGAAAGCGUGGGGAGCGAACAG